Molecule: ribosomal RNA, 497 nt
Filed under: uncultured bacterium
Lineage: Bacteria
Description: partial 16S ribosomal RNA
Rfam family: Bacterial small subunit ribosomal RNA
Source: RNAcentral
GAUGAACGCUGGCGGCGUGCCUAAUACAUGCGAGUCGAGCGAACAGACGAGGAGCUUGCUCCUCUGACGUUAGCGGCGGACGGGUGAGUAACACGUGGAUAACCUACCUAUAAGACUGGGAUAACUUCGGGAAACCGGAGCUAAUACCGUAUAAUAUAUUGAACCGCAUGGUUCAAUAGUGAAAGACGGUUUUGCUGUCACUUAUAGAUGGAUCCGCGCCGCAUUGGCUAGUUGGUAAGGUAACGGCUUACCAAGGCAACGAUGCGUUGCCGACCCGAGAGGGUGAUCGGCCACCCUGGAACUGAGACACCGUCACGACUCCUACGGGAGGCAGCAGUAGGGAAUCUUCCGCAAUGGGCGAAAGCCUGACGGAGCAGCGCCGCGUGAGUGAUGACGGUGUUCGGAUCGUAAAACUCUGUUAUUAGGGAAGAACAAAUGUGUAAGUAACUAUGCACGUCUUGACGGUACCUAAUCAGAAAGCCACGGCUAACUACGUG